UACGUAGGGUCCGAGCGUUGUCCGGAAUUAUUGGGCGUAAAGGGCUCGUAGGCGGUUUGUCGCGUCGGGAGUGAAAACCAGGUGCUUAACACCUGGCCUGCUUUCGAUACGGGCAGACUAGAGGCAUUCAGGGGAGAACGGAAUUCCUGGUGUAGCGGUGAAAUGCGCAGAUAUCAGGAGGAACACCUGUGGUGUAGACAGCUUACUGGACCAUUUCUGACGCUGAGACACGAAAGCGUGGGUAGCAAACAGG
Molecule: ribosomal RNA, 253 nt
Filed under: uncultured bacterium
Lineage: Bacteria
Description: partial 16S ribosomal RNA
Rfam family: Bacterial small subunit ribosomal RNA
Source: RNAcentral